Panthera uncia (snow leopard) is the source of this 942-nucleotide long non-coding RNA. RefSeq lists it as uncharacterized. NCBI's taxonomy places the organism in Eukaryota, Metazoa, Chordata, Mammalia, Carnivora, Felidae. The record is from RefSeq and is a predicted model, not a curated record. The transcript has 4 exons.
CGUGCCUGCGUGCGUGUGCACGUAGUCGUUGAUGGAGGCAGGAAGCGAGAAGGAAGCGGGAAGGUGGAAGAGAUCCGAAGAGUUUCAAACAAGGCCCGAUUCUCCUUAGGUCAGCUCGAUUUGCUCUCUAAUCCUGGGCGACGCAGGGUUCAAGGAUCUUCUGAAUCUCAUCCCAUUGUAGGAACUCCUGCUGUACUCAGAGAAUGUUGUUCAGAAGGGGAGACAGGCAAUAAAUAUAAGAUGAAGUUAUGAGGAGAGAAGCUAUUCAUAGCUAAAACUCUAGCUAAAAUGGCUAUUAUUUAUUGCACGGAACUGAAAUCGGAUGAAGUCGAGAAACCCAACGUACAAACCCAGAAGCUGAGAUACUACACAAGCGGACGUAUUUCAAGGACAAAUCCAAAGGUGUUUUGUUCUGUGUUGGCCCGAACGAUUGCAUGUUGUUGUCAUCAUUGCCAUGGAAAGUGCCACUGGAAUGAAAGGGGUUGCCAUCAAUGGGUCUUUUUAUGGUUACUGAGCUGCGGAGCGAACCUGUUUGAGCUGGAAUAAUGGAUACGGUGGAUUCCCCAGCUAAUUCCAUGCAAGUUUAGUCCCAUUUUAUAGUUCCAGUUGCCUUCAACUAAAACAAGAUGGUAACUUUGAGAUUAUCAUUACAUAAGGCAGAAAAUAAAUCUUGUGUUAAUGCUAUCUAUAGUGAAAAAAAAAAGUAUGCUUUCUGAUACAAAGAGAAUUUGGUGCUGGAAAGAAAUGCUUGGAUUUACUUCUAUUCUUGUGCCACAUAAAUUUACUAAGCGAGGCGGAUUAACUAAAGAUCGAGAAGGGAAAAAAAUACCUAAAACCAGAAUAAAAAUUCCAGGUCGCUUCCCCUUAUCCAACUCUGUGUGCAUGGACACUGCUGAUUUGGGCAUGUACCAUUUCCUUUUCAUUAUUCAUCCUCCAGAAGCU